Molecule: long non-coding RNA, 591 nt
Filed under: Elaeis guineensis (African oil palm)
Lineage: Eukaryota; Viridiplantae; Streptophyta; Magnoliopsida; Arecales; Arecaceae
Description: long non-coding RNA (EGUI_LNC016809)
Source: RNAcentral
CUCCGCUUUCCAGAUUCUACCAACCCUAAUCCUAAUUCCUUCUUUGCGGCCUCCCAUGGCGCCGGCUGCUGAAGACGGUCUGAAGAAACUCGAGUACCUCUCUCUCGUCUCCAAAAUCUGCACGGAGCUCGAGUCCCACGUCGGGUGCGGCGACAAGGUCCUCGCAGAGUUCAUCACCGAGCUCGGCCGCAGGUCCGAGACGGUGGAGGAGUUCGACGCCAAGCUCAAGGAGAACGGCGCCGAGAUGCCAGACUACUUCGUCCGCACCCUCCUCACCAUCAUCCACGCCAUCGUACCCCCAAAGCCCAAGUCCGCCAAGCCCUCCUCCGACCAGAAUCAAGACAAGAAGAAAUCCUCCGCCUUCCCUGCCCUCUCCCGUCCAGACGACCUCGAACGCGCCAAGGAGCUCCGCCGCGAGAUCGAGCACGACGCCGAGAUGAAGGCCGCGUCUGAAGCCCGCAGCCGCGACGAGCACCACGAUCGUGAUGGCGGCCGAGAUCGGGAGCGGCACCGACAUCGGGAUCGGGACCGAGAUGGAGAUCGGGACCGAGAUCGAGACAGGCGACGCGAUCGAGAUCGAGAGUAUAGGCG